This 857-nucleotide long non-coding RNA is filed under the name Triticum aestivum (bread wheat). RNAcentral's name for it is "long non-coding RNA (TAES_LNC019516)". The record is from RNAcentral. Lineage: Eukaryota; Viridiplantae; Streptophyta; Magnoliopsida; Poales; Poaceae.
UUCAUCGGAGUGCAUAAGGUCGUCGUUGAAGCCGUAUGUACCAUCAUCCUUUAUCCGGUUAUCGAUGCCUCGAUAGCCGGCUACCUCUAGAGAAGACACUAGAAGACAGACGACCCAUACCGCGUGUCUCCUGCCAGUAUCGCACCACCUUCGAUCCAGCAGCAACAAUAACUCCACACCAGAUAGCCACUAACUCUAUGAUAAAAGACAAAAUCAAAACAAAAAAUACACAACUCAUAGGCCACGCUUGCAAGAAGGAAUCGCCGCACGUGCCCAAUGAUGACAAGUCCAACACAAGAUUAAACUCUGGAUUCUCGUCCCCGAAUCCAAGCUUCAACCCACCAUCUUAAACAAGGACACUACGCAGGCGCGUCUCGACAUAGCCUAAUCAGACAUCUUGUAUUUUCAUCGGAGUGCAUAAGGUCGUCGUGGAAGCCGUAUGUACCAUCAUCCUUUAUCCGGUUAUCGAUGCCUCGAUAGCCGGCUACCUCUAGAGAAGACACUAGAAGACAGACGUCCCAUACCGCGUGUCUCCUGCCAGUAUCGCACCACCUUCGAUCCAGCAGCAACAAUAACUCCACACCAGAUAGCCACUAACUCUAUGAUAAAAGACAAAAUCAAAACAAAAAAUACACAACUCAUAGGCCACGCUUGCAAGAAGGAAUCGCCGCACGUGCCCAAUGAUGACAAGUCCAACACAAGAUUAAACUCUGGAUUCUCGUCCCCGAAUCCAAGCUUCAACCCACCAUCUUAAACAAGGACACUACGCAGGCGCGUCUCGACAUAGCCUAAUCAGACAUCUUGUAUUUUCAUCGGAGUGCAUAAGAUCGUCGUUGAAGCCGUAUGUACCAUCAUCC